UUUGAUCAUGGCUCAGGACGAACGCUGGCGGCGUGCUUAACACAUGCAAGUCGAACGAUGAACCAUUUCGGUGGGGAUUAGUGGCGAACGGGUGAGUAACACGUGGGCAAUCUGCCCUUCACUCUGGGACAAGCCCUGGAAACGGGGUCUAAUACCGGAUGAUACUUCUGCAGGCAUCUGUGGGGGUUGAAAGCUCCGGCGGUGAAGGAUGAGCCCGCGGCCUAUCAGCUUGUUGGUGAGGUAGUGGCUCACCAAGGCGACGACGGGUAGCCGGCCUGAGAGGGCGACCGGCCACACUGGGACUGAGACACGGCCCAGACUCCUACGGGAGGCAGCAGUGGGGAAUAUUGCACAAUGGGCGAAAGCCUGAUGCAGCGACGCCGCGUGAGGGAUGACGGCCUUCGGGUUGUA
Molecule: ribosomal RNA, 411 nt
Filed under: Streptomyces cinereoruber
Lineage: Bacteria; Bacillati; Actinomycetota; Actinomycetes; Kitasatosporales; Streptomycetaceae
Description: bacterial SSU rRNA
Rfam family: Bacterial small subunit ribosomal RNA
Source: RNAcentral